GUGAGUCCUUUAGAAACAGGAACAAAAGUUAAAUUAGCAAGGGUAGACAAUGACGGGCAUGGUCAAAGGUAUGAGCUAGCAGAGACCACAAGUUAGCAGAGCAAUUAGACGGAAGAAAAAUUUAAAGCAAAAGAAAACUACACACAAAAUGGGCGAGGCAGUAAAGGAACUGUGGAAUGGCUGAAAAUGUCAAAUGUCAAGUGGUAACUCUGGGCAGCUGGACUGAGAAUCUGUGCCUCUACCUCUAUAAUUCUCUCCUUCUGUCUUCCUCUGUGUUGGCCUCCAUGCAGCCCACGGGACUGCUCCACCUGGAAGAAUAAUUAUAAGGAAGCUGUUCAUCUCUGCCUCUCAACACCACCAAGCCUUAAGGUCCAGUCCCCUGGAUUUAUAACUACACCCCUCAUUACGACUCUAGAGGAAGUGUUUAUGGUUUGAAUCCUAGAGAAAGUUGUCAGAUGAAAUCUGGGAACACCCAAGGAAUAACGCAAUACCACAGAGUUAACAUGAUUGAUGAUAUCAUAGCUCAUUUUUAACAGAUGUCAAAAGAAGAAAAAUCAAGCUGUCAUUCCACAUACUGAGCCCUUGUUCACUUAACAGAAGACCUUUAUAAGUAAAUCAAAAUUAAUGAUGCAACCUGCCUACUGGAGGGAACAGACCCCGAUUGCAAGCCUGUCAUCUCCAGGGUCUCGUCCUAGACAGGAAGGGCCUGUAGAAACUGGGAGAUGAGUUCAUCCCUCAACUGACGGCCAAAGAAUUUGAAGCAAGAACACAGAGUCUUGGUUCCACAAAACGCUGUACUUAAAAGGACACUGCUGAGCGCUUCCUGUUCAGUACUGCUGGGGACAGCCUUGAAAAUAAUGACCUACUUUCCCUCAGCAAAGCCAACUCUGAGAGAGGAUGAUGUCUACAAAUGAGGGCUCAUAAAAGAAUAUAAUUAAACACUGGUGCGCCUCAGAGUGAGAGAACUUUGAGAUAAUGACUACAGUGGCACGCACUGUACCACAGAGAACAAGAUGUCACAAUUGUAUAUUUGCAGGUUGAUUUAAUCUGACAGGAUUCUUAGCGACAGAGAACGUGGUCUGUCUGAGCCGAGCGGCGCAGCUGGUGUGUCCGACCAAUGCGGCUCUGUUUAUCUUUGUGAACUUACACGUGUCAAUUAGCAAACUUCUUAAUCUGGCUGCACGUGCUUAUCUUUGGAGGUCCCCUGUAGAUCUUCCUUGUCUGAGGCACAGAGUGUGUAAAUCAUCCCUUUCAUUUAAAUAGAGUCUUUUUUAAAAUUCUCUGUA
This is a long non-coding RNA of Marmota monax (woodchuck), 1286 nucleotides long. RefSeq lists it as uncharacterized. Lineage: Eukaryota; Metazoa; Chordata; Mammalia; Rodentia; Sciuridae. The transcript has 5 exons. The record is from RefSeq and is a predicted model, not a curated record.